AGUAAAAGUCGUAACAAGGUCUCCGUAGGUGAACCUGCGGAGGGAUCAUUACACAAAUAUGAAGGCGGGCUGGAACCUCUCGGGGUUACAGCCUUGCUGAAUUAUUCACCCUUGUCUUUUGCGUACUUCUUGUUUCCUUGGUGGGUUCGCCCACCACUAGGACAAACAUAAACCUUUUGUAAUUGCAAUCAGCGUCAGUAACAAAUUAAUAAUUACAACUUUCAACAACGGAUCUCUUGGUUCUGGCAUCGAUGAAGAACGCAGCGAAAUGCGAUAAGUAGUGUGAAUUGCAGAAUUCAGUGAAUCAUCGAAUCUUUGAACGCACAUUGCGCCCUUUGGUAUUCCAAAGGGCAUGCCUGUUCGAGCGUCAUUUGUACCCUCAAGCUUUGCUUGGUGUUGGGCGUCUUGUCUCUAGCUUUGCUGGAGACUCGCCUUAAAGUAAUUGGCAGCCGGCCUACUGGUUUCGGAGCGCAGCACAAGUCGCACUCUCUAUCAGCAAAGGUCUAGCAUCCAUUAAGCCUUUUUUCAACUUUUGACCUCGGAUCAGGUAGGGAUACCCGCUGAACUUAAG
RNAcentral lists this ribosomal RNA (571 nucleotides) under Alternaria arborescens. RNAcentral describes it as "eukaryotic LSU rRNA". The stretch from base 217 to 370 matches the Rfam family "5.8S ribosomal RNA". The record is from RNAcentral. Lineage: Eukaryota; Fungi; Ascomycota; Dothideomycetes; Pleosporales; Pleosporaceae.